Malaclemys terrapin pileata is the source of this 789-nucleotide long non-coding RNA. RefSeq lists it as uncharacterized. The transcript is spliced from 2 exons. NCBI's taxonomy places the organism in Eukaryota, Metazoa, Chordata, Testudines, Emydidae. The record is from RefSeq and is a predicted model, not a curated record.
AUCAGCUGAGCACUGACAAACUCAUAGCCGGAAAUCAGACCAGCUCACCUGUAUGUUGUUAUUGUUCCAAGAUAGGUGUUAGACUUGUAAAAACGUGUUUAGACUCUAUAAAAUGCUUGUAAGUUGCUGCAUGCAUUAAUUUUUCUUGUAAUGUCUGUGUUCCAUGCUAUAAGGUUAUAUGUAAGUUUUGCUUUAUAACUGUAAAAAUGCCUGCUCUGAACUUGUGUACCCAGGCAGGAAGAGUGGUUCCCCUACCCAUCAAGAAGGACUGUCAAAACUACAGUGGUGCACCCGUAGGAACACACAUCUUGAAGAACCAUUGUUACUGCACAAGUCAGGGACCAUAGGAUGCACAGAGGCAUAUGCCUGGGAGAGACUGAAACCAAUGGGGUAUGAUUCUAAUCCCACAAACUGAGUACUGAAGAGAACAGGGUGUGGCAAACCCAAACUGUGAUGAAAAUGGUCAGAUCCCUCAAACUGACCUGGUGUUACCCCAGGACAGGGGAAUAGAACCACCAGCGUUAAGAAGGUACAAGAAGAAAGAGCUCCAGGAAGAAAUCACAGCCAGUGUGGAACAGGCUGUCCAGCAGCGUCUAUGAUUUGGGGGGGCGUGUCAUAAAUAUACACAGGGCAGCUAUACUGAAUUGCAACUAAUCAGUGUGUACCACCUGUUAAUCUUAGAGAUGAUUAUGUUAUUGGUUCUAUGCAUUGUUUUAAUUAAUCUUACAAUGUACAAUAUAAAGAAGUGAAAAUAGAAUAUUAAAUAAAUGUUCUUCUGUUAAUUGUUAA